AUUAAUAAAAAAGUUCGAAUUUGAAAACAUAUAAUCUAAAACUAUAACAAAUUUUUUUUUUAAUUUUUUAAAUUUACUUUUAUUUAUUUUUUAUAUAUCUAGGAUGUUAGGGUCUUUUUACCUAUUAAAUGAAACAUUUUGGUCAUUUUCCUCCUUGUGAUAUAUUUUUGUGACCAAAAAUUGAAAAUGAUCUAUUUAGGAGAAUUGCUCUACAAAAAUGAUAUAUUAAUCAUAAAAAAGUAGCAAUAAAC
RNAcentral lists this long non-coding RNA (251 nucleotides) under Brassica rapa (field mustard). RNAcentral describes it as "long non-coding RNA (BRAP_LNC002832)". The record is from RNAcentral. Lineage: Eukaryota; Viridiplantae; Streptophyta; Magnoliopsida; Brassicales; Brassicaceae.